Molecule: ribosomal RNA, 596 nt
Filed under: Neolissochilus pnar
Lineage: Eukaryota; Metazoa; Chordata; Actinopteri; Cypriniformes; Cyprinidae
Description: partial large subunit ribosomal RNA
Rfam family: Bacterial large subunit ribosomal RNA
Source: RNAcentral
CUCGGCAAACACAAGCCUCGCCUGUUUACCAAAAACAUCGCCUCCUGCAAUACAAUCAAGUAUAGGAGGUCCAGCCUGCCCAGUGACCACAAGUUCAACGGCCGCGGUAUUUUGACCGUGCAAAGGUAGCGCAAUCACUUGUCUUUUAAAUAGAGACCUGUAUGAAUGGCCAAACGAGGGCUUAACUGUCUCCCUUUUCAAGUCAGUGAAAUUGAUCUACCCGUGCAGAGGCGGGUAUAACAAUACAAGACGAGAAGACCCUUUGGAGCUUAAGGUACAAAACUCAACCACGUCAAGCAACUUAAUAAAAAGUAAAAACUUUGUGAAGCAUGAGAUUUUACCUUCGGUUGGGGCGACCACGGAGGAAAAAAAAGCCUCCAAGUGGACCGGGACAAACUCCUAAAACCAAGAGAGACAUCUCUAAGCCACAGAACAUCUGACCAAACAUGAUCCGGCCACCAGGACCGAUCAACGAACCAAGUUACCCUAGGGAUAACAGCGCAAUCCCCUCCCAGAGUCCAUAUCGACGAGGGGGUUUACGACCUCGAUGUUGGAUCAGGACAUCCUAAUGGUGCAGCCGCUAUUAAGGGUUCGUU